UGGGAGAAUUUAGAAAGGCAAGGUGCA
Molecule: non-coding RNA, 27 nt
Filed under: Mus musculus (house mouse)
Lineage: Eukaryota; Metazoa; Chordata; Mammalia; Rodentia; Muridae
Source: RNAcentral